CACGCCGUAAACGAUGAUAACUAGCUGUCCGGGCACUUGGUGCUUGGGUGGCGCAGCUAACGCAUUAAGUUAUCCGCCUGGGGAGUACGGUCGCAAGAUUAAAACUCAAAGGAAUUGACGGGGGCCUGCACAAGCGGUGGAGCAUGUGGUUUAAUUCGAAGCAACGCGCAGAACCUUACCAGCGUUUGACAUGUCCGGACGAUUUCCAGAGAUGGAUCUCUUCCCUUCGGGGACUGGAACACAGGUGC
RNAcentral lists this ribosomal RNA (248 nucleotides) under uncultured bacterium. RNAcentral's name for it is "partial 16S ribosomal RNA". It matches the Rfam family "Bacterial small subunit ribosomal RNA", at positions 796 to 1041 of the family's 1533-position model. The record is from RNAcentral.